This 497-nucleotide ribosomal RNA is filed under the name uncultured bacterium. RNAcentral's name for it is "partial 16S ribosomal RNA". It matches the Rfam family "Bacterial small subunit ribosomal RNA", at positions 30 to 523 of the family's 1533-position model. The record is from RNAcentral.
AUUGAACGCUGGCGGCAUGCCUUACACAUGCAAGUCGAACGGUAACAGGUCUUCGGAUGCUGACGAGUGGCGAACGGGUGAGUAAUACAUCGGAACGUGCCUAGUAGUGGGGGAUAACUACUCGAAAGAGUGGCUAAUACCGCAUGAGAUCUACGGAUGAAAGCAGGGGAUCGCAAGACCUUGUGCUACUAGAGCGGCCGAUGGCAGAUUAGGUAGUUGGUGGGAUAAAAGCUUGCCAAGCCGACGAUCUGUAGCUGGUCUGAGAGGACGAUCAGCCACACUGGGACUGAGACACGGCCCAGACUCCAACGGGAGGCAGCAGUGGGGAAUUUUGGACAGUGGGCGCAAGCCUGAUCCAGCAAUGCCGCGUGCAGGAUGAAGGCCUUCGGGUUGUAAACUGCUUUUGUACGGAACGAAAAGCCCCGGGUUAAUACCCUGGGGUCAUGACGGUACCGUAAGAAUAAGCACCGGCUAACUACGUGCCAGCAGCCCCGUAA